This is a long non-coding RNA of Cairina moschata (Muscovy duck), 4654 nucleotides long. Lineage: Eukaryota; Metazoa; Chordata; Aves; Anseriformes; Anatidae. The record is from Ensembl.
AUCCUGCCAUCAAUGACUGAACCUCCCUGAAAUCUUCUUAUCAGUUACUGCUAAGAUGAGAAGGAUAACAGGAAAGAGGAGCGCUUAAGUGGUUUUCGUGACAGUUAAUUUCAUCUAUUUAUCAAAUGACAGUCUGCUUUAAAUUGCUGGGAUUAACUUCAGAGAAGGCAAGAGAUGGAGACUCCUUUGUCAGCAUCUGUGCUGGUUAAAGAAGGAAGUUUCGUGCACGCUUGCUCACUCUCUUGCAGGUUAUUGCCCCUGCUAGGCAAGCAUGCUGAAGUGUUUCGCUGAGUACACCCGGAUUUAAUUCAGCCCAAGCUGAUCACGUUAUCAAAUCCUGGUUACCUGGGAGCCCGGGUCAUUUUGACAGAAGGGCAGGGAGUGUGCAGACCAGCUGCACGGACAGCACGUCUGGGAAUGUGGUCUGUUAUCAGGAGGGAUGGACUGCAUAGUUUGCCAAUGCAAGUGGAGAGAGAGAGGGUGAAUUUGGGCUGGCUCCGCAUAUGGGAGCUGAGCCCUGUGAUGGCAGCGUGGGGUCAAGCUCCUGCUGAGCUCUGGGCAUCCGUACUGGGUUCAGACGUGAAGUGCCUCAUCCCAAGAACUUCCGAGACAUCUCCCAUGGCCGCUGAAAGCUGAGCUGCUGCAGCUCCUUGAGACAGCCCGUAAUUCUUGCAUCUUAAUAUGGGCCAUUGUCAUACCCAUGUUAAAAUACUUAAUGAAACGCUUGUGACUUCCUAAUAAAGUUUUUGUCUGCUCGAGUGUUAAUACCAUAUAGUUAUGUGUAAUUAAACCAGUGCUGAAAAAAUAACAUCUGUCUUAUGUAGAGCACUGUCAUAGCUGUGUUAUGCCAAUGAGUAAAAUUUUAUGUCCAGGCACUUAAAAUGAUCAAGCGCUAUAGUUAAGGCUGUCAUAUUGUUUAUAUAGCACUAAAAAGAAAACAAAAUACGGUUUCAGAGCAGACAGACUUUAUUUUCUUAUAAAUACUCCAAAUAAUAGGUUGGUUUCAACUAGACUUUCUGGCUCUUCAGUGAUUGCCGCAUUCUGUAUGAAUAUAUCAGAAUUCCAGGCAUUUCAUAAUUUAUGUUUAUUAUUAUAAACACAUGAUUUCUGUGUAUGGUUGCCACAACUAUGUUGGACAAAACAUAAUUUACCUCUGAAAUGGUACUGUACUUUUACUUUUGAACCUCUUUAACUUCAGCCUUGGUUGAAUAAAAUGUGCAUUCCUGAAAAUAAUCUGUACAUCUGUAAUAUGGCCGUUGAUUUUACAUGGCUGUUUUCAUACUCCAGACAUAGCAAAGCAUUUUCAAGGCAAUAUAUUUUGACAAUGCGUGGAGAUAAAAAUCAGUUAAUGACAAACUCUAAGGUGUAAAUUUUUAAUAAGAGCAAUGAAUCAUUAGAAAUUAUUAGAAAGGGAAUAGUAGAUUUUUCUAGCAUUUGAAGUUGUUGAAUGAAGAUGAAAUGUUUUCACAGACAUAUGUGCUUGAACAAACGCAUGGGUGGGGUAGAAGAAUUCCUCGUGGGCUUCUGAGGCUUUUGUUACACCUGGGGUCAGACUGGGUCAUCUUAAACGUACUUCUGGCUUAGAAGAGAGGGCGGUAUCUUGGUAUAGCUAAUACCUAUAACGUAACAACUUCCACCAAAUGGCUAUUAAAAUUUACUUGAACUUCGCUCUAAAAAAAAAAAAAAAGACAAAAAACUAACAACAACACCAACACAUCUGGGAGGGGGCAUUGUCUAAUAACUACUUUGGCAAGGCUUCUUACUUUUCAGAUCAUGCCUUUUUCCAACAUGCUUUUUAUCUCACUGCACUUGGUUCCAAAGAGCUGAACAUUUCGUUGGCUUUAGGUGGGUUUCUUUCACUCAUCCAUCCCUCCUCCCUGCCCCCCCCCCCCUCAAUUAUUCAAACAGCACAUGUUUGAAUAAUUUGGAAAAAACAGAGCAAAUGUCUUUUAUGCUGCUUACUAAGUGCAAUGCCGCCUUGUUGCUAGAAAUAAUUGUUAGGUUUAAAAUAAUCUGACAGCAUCCUGCUGUGUAUAAAUUAGGUUUGUUCACUGCUAAGAUUAGUUAGCUGGCACCCAUUCACUAACACAUCACAAAAAAAUGUUCACAAGUAGAUCGCGUCCGGUUAUCUGCCUUUUUUCUUUUUAAUGGGCUUUUUGUUGCUGUGCUGUCACCCAGGUUGAAAUAAACGUGUCCAAGUUCUCUGCAGCCUGGGGAGAUGAUAUUGGCUCUUUGGGAAAAGACCCGGGGGCAUAAGCACUGGGGAAGGGGAGAGGUUGUUUGCACUUCGAUCUCUGAAUCUUGCGCACCUUUAUUUUUGGCCAGGUUAGGUAUCUAUGCUCUAUGGCAUGCAGUAUGUUAUCAGUGAAGUCCAAUAUGCCAGGUAUAAUUAGCUCAUGUGUUUAAAGAGCUGUUGUUAUUUUUUAACUUGUAUGUACUAGUCAGCUUUCAUGCAGAAGUACGUAUUUUACAUGGAAAGAAUGCUGGGUGAUUCAGAGAAAAUAGAAAUGCUAUUUAAAGUCAUGCACUAGUGUUUUAGAUUUCAAAAAAGACCACAAGGUUUUUAUUUCUGUGUUUAUGAUUGAUUAGGGUUAGAGUUUUAAAAGCUUAAUGCUGACUAUAAGAGCUUUGUAGUCAGUCACUGAGAAUUAUGGGCUUGGCAUAAUUCACAUUUUUAUUCUUCAGUAUAUCCGUUAUUGUUAGAUGCUGAGUAGUCAUUGCACACAGAUAACUGGGUUGGUUUUGGGGGGGGAUUUUACAUCUUUACACAGUCUGAAAAAUACUUCGUUAAAGUAGCUCCCGAGUGAAUGGGGUAAUUAAAGAACUUCACCGCUUUUAUUGAAGUUGACACAUGCUGCACGUUCUGUAAAACUCAGUAUGUGAGCAGAAUGUUUCCAGGAUUUAUUGAAAGUCAGACACCUCGAGAUACUAGGGAAGCUUUCAAUAGUAGUAAAGAUAACUUCGGUUUUUACACAGUUAAAUAAACCUGUCUCUACGAAGAGAGCUAUUACUGCAAUACAUUACUCAUGACCUUUGUGUUUUCUGUAUGCAUACGUUUCAUGGAUGCAUAUGCGCAUACACCUGUGCAGAAGUGCUGAAGACCUGAGCAAUUUUGUUUGACAGUAACACCAUCGUUUAUUCUAUUUAGUAUUUAUUUGCAGAAAAAUAGUGUUGCAAUGUUGACUGAGGAUCUUAAUUUACUUGGUCCCAGUGGAAUGCUGCAGCCUAUUGAUUUUUAUUUUUUAACUGAAAUGCAAGCCUGCAUAGUUUGACUUGCAGCUCUUAGUGUCUGAGAGUUUGACAAAGCAAGUGAAGAAUCUCACUUAAUGUAAACUGCAGACUUAGUUUCAUUUUAAAUGAUACUAGUGCAGCAUUCCGCAUGCAUGAUGCCUUGGAAGUAGCAAAAAAUGUGAACCUGUAAUUGCAACACACAGUGACCAACCAUGUUAGAUGUGAAAUUCCUCAAAAUGUCUAUUGAACAGAUAUUGUUACUGAUAGUGUAAUUUUUAGCUGUCUUUUUCCAGCAUAUUGGAAUAAUUUAAAGUCAAAUUGAGAACAUUCAGUUAGUCGUCCUUUCCUGUCAAUGGCUCAUGUCUUAAAAUUAUCUUUAAGAUUUCUUUUUUAAAGUGUGUAUUUAAGGUAAUGGUAACAAACAUGCAGCUUUCAAGAUCAAACCAUAUUUUAGCUCUCGUUUGCAUUUUGUUUACGUGGCCCAUGGCAUGGAGAGCCCUGCCAAGUACACUCCACUCCUCUGGGUUUCGGUGAGAACUGAAUGACCAGAGCUGUGCACAGCUAAGCACACAGCCUUAUCAGCAUCCAUGCUUUAUGUAGAUACAGGCAAAGUGCUUUCCUGAAGGAGCAGGCGGUCUUGGAAAAUAUCAGAGGGCCAGAUUCUUCCACUGUGAACGACCCCAGCACGCAGCUGACGCUAUCAGAAGCAGCCACACCUCUGUCAGACCCAGGCAGCGCCAGGUGGGUGGAAGCUGUGGCUGGUGGCCCUGCGGCCAGCGGCCGUGGCAGCAGUGCCCAGGGAUGAGCCGGUAACUGGACGAGGGCAGGAGGGGAGGCAGGUACUAAAACAUGCUGUUUCUUGUUUUCUCAAUGCUUCCAGGUUAAAGCGUGGCCAUCUCUGUUACCUUGCUGAGAGCGAGGAAGUCACUGCAGACCAGCAAAGUGGCUGGAGGUGCCUUUUUCAAAGUCUUCUUUUUAAAUAGAAGUAAUUAAAUCUUAACUCACAGGCAACCUUUGCCUGGAAUGUCCAUUAUAUCAGUGUACUUUAAUAAGACAUAAGAAGUGCUUUGGUAGUGUUCAGUUCUUAGUAGUGUUGUAUAUCAUCUAUGUUUUGCAUGAUUUCAAAGAAGAAUGUUGCCCUUACUAUUGAAUUAUUUGUCUAAAAACAAAAAACAUCAUACUUUCACCUGUGUAUUUUGGGAUAUUUAAACUAUUAAACCUAAAGCGCUUUUCAAGCAUUGUUUGACUUACUAUUAUUGCAUGCUAUAAAAUAAAACGCAAUAUUAAAGUGCAGGCUGAACGAAUAUUAAUCAUCAGCUACAAAUAAAAAUAUUAAAAAAUAUAUAUUUUUUUCUAAUUCUUUACAGUAAGUUUUACAUUAUUUUUAUGUGGGAUGUGGGGGAAAAAAAAGAGAUUAGUGUCC